This 460-nucleotide ribosomal RNA is filed under the name uncultured bacterium. RNAcentral describes it as "partial 16S ribosomal RNA". It matches the Rfam family "Bacterial small subunit ribosomal RNA", at positions 338 to 795 of the family's 1533-position model. The record is from RNAcentral.
CCUACGGGAGGCAGCAGUGAGGAAUAUUGGUCAAUGGGCGCGAGCCUGAACCAGCCAAGUAGCGUGAAGGCUGACUGCCCUACGGGUUGUACACUUCUUUUAUAAAGGAAUAAAGUGAGGCACGUGUGCCUUUUUGUAUGUACUUUAUGAAUAAGGAUCGGCUAACUCCGUGCCAGCAGCCGCGGUAAUACGGAGGAUCCGAGCGUUAUCCGGAUUUAUUGGGUUUAAAGGGAGCGUAGAUGGUUUGUUAAGUCAGUUGUGAAAGUUUGCGGCUCAACCGUAAAAUUGCAAUUGAUACUGGCAGCCUUGAGUACAGUUGAGGGAGGCGGAAUUCGUGGUGUAGCGGUGAAAUGCUUAGAGAUCACGAAGAACUCCGAUGGCGAAGGCAGCCUACUAAACGGCCACUGACAUUGAUGCUCGAAAGUGUGGGUAUCAAACAGGAUUAGAUACCCUUGUAGUC